Molecule: transfer RNA, 70 nt
Filed under: Dipodomys ordii (Ord's kangaroo rat)
Lineage: Eukaryota; Metazoa; Chordata; Mammalia; Rodentia; Heteromyidae
Rfam family: tRNA
About the family: Transfer RNA (tRNA) molecules are approximately 80 nucleotides in length. Their secondary structure includes four short double-helical elements and three loops (D, anti-codon, and T loops). Further hydrogen bonds mediate the characteristic L-shaped molecular structure. tRNAs have two regions of fundamental functional importance: the anti-codon, which is responsible for specific mRNA codon recognition, and the 3' end, to which the tRNAs corresponding amino acid is attached (by aminoacyl-tRNA synthetases). tRNAs cope with the degeneracy of the genetic code in two manners: having more than one tRNA (with a specific anti-codon) for a particular amino acid; and 'wobble' base-pairing, i.e. permitting non-standard base-pairing at the 3rd anti-codon position.
Source: Rfam by way of RNAcentral
GGGAAAGUGGCUCAGUGGUAGAGUACUUGCCUUGCAUGCAUAAGGCCCUGGGUUCAAUUCCUCAGCACCA